UCACAAACGACUCUCGGCAACGGAUAUCUCGGCUCACGCAUCGAUGAAGAACGUAGCAAAAUGCGAUACUUGGUGUGAAUUGCAGAAUCCCGUGAACCAUCGAGUUUUUGAACGCAAGUUGCGCCCGAAGCCUUUUGGCCGAGGGCACGUCUGCCUGGGCGUCACGC
Molecule: ribosomal RNA, 167 nt
Filed under: Artemisia vulgaris (common mugwort)
Lineage: Eukaryota; Viridiplantae; Streptophyta; Magnoliopsida; Asterales; Asteraceae
Also listed under: 73 other names
Description: 5.8S ribosomal RNA
Rfam family: 5.8S ribosomal RNA
About the family: 5.8S ribosomal RNA (5.8S rRNA) is a component of the large subunit of the eukaryotic ribosome. It is transcribed by RNA polymerase I as part of the 45S precursor that also contains 18S and 28S rRNA.
Source: RNAcentral